CCACAGCCGAGGUCACAAUCAACAUUCAUUGUUGUCGGUGGGUUGUGAGGACCGAGGCCAGACCCACCGGGGGAUGAAUGUCACUGUGGCUGGGCCAGACACGGCUUA
Molecule: non-coding RNA, 108 nt
Organism: Gorilla gorilla gorilla (western lowland gorilla)
Lineage: Eukaryota; Metazoa; Chordata; Mammalia; Primates; Hominidae
Gene: MIR181D
Product: microRNA mir-181d
Exons: 1
Source: RefSeq, marked provisional